This 58-nucleotide transfer RNA is filed under the name Ictidomys tridecemlineatus (thirteen-lined ground squirrel). RNAcentral's name for it is "Spermophilus tridecemlineatus (thirteen-lined ground squirrel) tRNA". It matches the Rfam family "tRNA", at positions 7 to 64 of the family's 71-position model. From Rfam's summary of the family: Transfer RNA (tRNA) molecules are approximately 80 nucleotides in length. The record is from Rfam by way of RNAcentral. Lineage: Eukaryota; Metazoa; Chordata; Mammalia; Rodentia; Sciuridae.
GUGGCUCAGUGGUAGAGUGCUUGCUUUGCAUGCAUGGGGCCCUGGGUUUGGUCCCAGC